GUUAACUUCUGUGAAGAAUCUAAUGUUUGUGAUCGUGGUUGUUGUGGGAGGCAGAUGGUUGCAGGUUUUUGCAAAGGACCUGCAGAACACACCAAUACUAUAUGGUGUAGGUGUAAAGUGAAGUUUGGAGAAAUUUUCCUGCAGAAGAGGUCAUGUGGUAUCUGUGGCCCCAUCCUGUGCUGACUAGCUGAAGUGCAUGCCAGGCUAGCACCUCAGGACAAAUGGCAGAAUCAGUGGAAUGUGUGUGACUGUCACUGUGUUGUUGAAAGAUUACCUCUCAGAAAAUACACAAAGUGAAGAACAACUAG
This is a long non-coding RNA of Talpa occidentalis (Iberian mole), 308 nucleotides long. RefSeq lists it as uncharacterized. The transcript is spliced from 3 exons. The record is from RefSeq and is a predicted model, not a curated record. NCBI's taxonomy places the organism in Eukaryota, Metazoa, Chordata, Mammalia, Eulipotyphla, Talpidae.